This 229-nucleotide ribosomal RNA is filed under the name uncultured bacterium. Its description in RNAcentral is "partial 16S ribosomal RNA". It matches the Rfam family "Bacterial small subunit ribosomal RNA", at positions 568 to 796 of the family's 1533-position model. The record is from RNAcentral.
UGUGUAGGCGGAAGAUUAAGUCAGUGGUGAAAUCCUGCAGCUUAACUGUAGAACUGCCAUUGAAACUGAUUUUCUUGAGUACAGUUGAGGUAGGCGGAAUGUGUAAUGUAGCGGUGAAAUGCUUAGAUAUUACACAGAACACCGAUUGCGUAGGCAGCUUACUAAACUGGUACUGACGCUGAGGCACGGAAGCGUGGGGAGCAAACAGGAUUAGAUACCCUGGUAGUCC